GUGGGGAAUAUUGGGCAAUGGGCGAAAGCCUGACCCAGCAACGCCGCGUGAAGGAAGAAGGUUUUCGGAUCGUAAACUUCUAUCCUUGGUGAAGAUAAUGACGGUAGCCAAGAAGGAAGCCCCGGCUAACUACGUGCCAGCAGCCGCGGUAAUACGUAGGGGGCAAGCGUUGUCCGGAAUGAUUGGGCGUAAAGGGCGCGUAGGCGGCCUGGUAAGUCUGGAGUGAAAGUCCUGCUUUUAAGGUGGGAAUUGCUUUGGAUACUGUCGGGCUUGAGUGCAGGAGAGGUAAGCGGAAUGCCCGGUGUAGCGGUGAAAUGCGGAGAGAUCGGGAGGAACACCAGUGGCGAAGGCGGCUUACUGGACUGUAACUGACGCUGAGGCGCGAAAGUGUGGGGAGCAAACAGGAUUAGAAACCCUUGUAGUCC
RNAcentral lists this ribosomal RNA (425 nucleotides) under uncultured bacterium. RNAcentral's name for it is "partial 16S ribosomal RNA". It matches the Rfam family "Bacterial small subunit ribosomal RNA", at positions 354 to 796 of the family's 1533-position model. The record is from RNAcentral.